CUCAGCUAGUCACAACAGGGUGAGCCCGAAGUUUCUAACCUGAUGAUAUCAAAGCAUUUAAUAUUGCUAGGAAGCAUCCAAACUCCUACAGAAAACUGGGGCUUUUGAUAACUGGAUCAAAAGGAAUGCUGUUUGCAGAAGUAACAUUCCUUUGAACACUCAGCUUUCUGAAAUGGUGUCCCACCACAAGACUGGAGAAGGGAUUUACUUUCCUGUAUAAUGGAUUCAUUUUGAACAAGCUGCCUCCACAUGAUGGCAAAUAUGACCCUGAAUAUCUGCAAUGGAUAUACAUUAGCAGGCCUCCUCUUGCUCUCUGAGCAAAAUUCUGCCAGUCCCAUGGUCUGCCGGGGUCACAGGAAUCUCUGAGAGGCCUUUUGUCAUCUUUUCGGCUACGCUUAAGCACGUGGGCAUUAUGCUACUGUCAAGAGAUGCAAACAUUCUCGGAGCCGACUCAGAUCCAUCAGGCUUGACAGCCUGUAGUCUGUUGCCCCCACCCCCAAGUUUCCACAUUGGAAAGGAGCACUGAUCUCCUCACACUCACAUUUCCAGCCAGUCUAGGAUUUCUGUUUUUCCCUUGUCUGAAUCUGACCAGGUAGAAGAGGAAGCAGAGAGCCAGAAAUCUUUCUUCAGAACUCACUCAACAUGUACCCUGUCAUCCUCUAGGACAUUGUAUCCUUCGUCUUGAAAUAUGAUAUCUUGGUUCUAACUCAUUAAUUAGUACAGUUUGUACAAUGUGAGGUUUAUUUCUUUGCUUCCUUUUGAGGACUAAGCUAAAAAUAGACUUGUUUGUUUGAAUUAUUUUUUUUCUUUAAGUUGUGGCAUAUUCCUUUUCUGAGGCAAAAGCAUAGAAGAUACUAAUUGGCUAAAUAAAGUCCAAGAAAAUACAUAGAAAAUAUGUGAAUUCACAUUUCAAAAUAGCAUCCUACCACAGCUAUUUGUGCGCUAUUCAUUUAAUACACCUUUCCUGCUAAAAUGUAAGCUCUUUUGAAGGCAGUGUAAUUUUUGUGUUCAUCACUGUAUGCCCAUCAACUUGUACCAUUGCCUGA
RNAcentral lists this long non-coding RNA (1046 nucleotides) under Aotus nancymaae (Ma's night monkey). RNAcentral describes it as "lncRNA (ENSANAG00000039103.1)". Lineage: Eukaryota; Metazoa; Chordata; Mammalia; Primates; Aotidae. The record is from RNAcentral.